CCUACGGGUGGCAGCAGUCGAGAAUCAUUCACAAUGGGGGAAACCCUGAUGGUGCGACGCCGCGUGGGGGAAUGAAGGUCUUCGGAUUGUAAACCCCUGUCAUGUGGGAGCAAAUUAAAAAGAUAGUACCACAAGAGGAAGAGACGGCUAACUCUGUGCCAGCAGCCGCGGUAAUACAGAGGUCUCAAGCGUUGUUCGGAACCACUGGGCGUAAGGCGUGCGUAGGCUGUUUCGUAAGUCGUGUGUGAAAGGCGCGGGCUCAACCCGCGGACGGCACAUGAUACUGCGAGACUAGAGUAAUGGAGGGGGAACCGGAAUUCUCGGUGUAGCAGUGAAAUGCGUAGAUAUCGAGAGGAACACUCGUGGCGAAGGCGGGUUCCUGGACAUUAACUGACGCUGAGGCACGAAGGCCAGGGGAGCGAAAGGGAUUAGAUACCCGGGUAGUC
This 446-nucleotide ribosomal RNA is filed under the name uncultured bacterium. Its description in RNAcentral is "partial 16S ribosomal RNA". It matches the Rfam family "Bacterial small subunit ribosomal RNA", at positions 338 to 795 of the family's 1533-position model. The record is from RNAcentral.